UUUUAACGAUUGAUCUGUCGAGAUGAAAGUGUUUUAUUGCUUUAUAUUAGUUGUGCUUGUUACGGUUGGAGGCGCCACUGCAAAAAUGAAGGUAGCCAACAAUGAAACCAUAGAAUUGUGUGAAAGUAUACUGACCAAUUGUACCAGUGAAGACGGAAUGGAGGGUAAGGACUCUUGCCGGGUAACUUACCUCCAGUGCUACGAAGAGAAUGGACAUUUGGUGUAUUAAAUUGAUGACUUGGAUCUGCAACCAUUCUAACAAGCUAACUUUUUGUAUUUCUUAAAACCAUGUUAGCUUUGUUUAAAAAUGAACAAGCAUACUUGA
Long non-coding RNA from Limulus polyphemus (Atlantic horseshoe crab), 325 nucleotides. RefSeq lists it as uncharacterized. The record is from RefSeq and is a predicted model, not a curated record. NCBI's taxonomy places the organism in Eukaryota, Metazoa, Arthropoda, Merostomata, Xiphosura, Limulidae. The transcript has 5 exons.